GUCAGCAGUUUAUUUUCAGAAAGAACUUUUACAGGAAAUCUUCUAGUUUCAACUGUUUCGUUGCCCAGUUCCAUGAUUUCAGUAAAAAGGGAACUUCACCGUUGCAAGUGUGAGUCUUAAAAGACGAACGACACAACUCACGACUCAGACCUUGACCCACAACGUCGGAGGCUUGUUUGAUCAUGACUGUCAUUGACGCUUGUGUUGCUGUAAACUCCACAUGCUCGACCUCCGGCUCCUCUGUAGGUCUUGCCACGGGGUUGACACUCUUCUUUCUACUCCUUAUAAUCGUAGCUGGUGUAUUUGCAUACAAAUACCGCAGCAGAAUCACGGAUAUGUUGCAGUUUGUACGUAGAAGAAGCGAGAAGAAUGAGGACUAUGUGGAGACACCAGAAGCUGAUGCCCAUCAGUUUUUGAACAGAGAACAGUCAACAACACAGAUACCAAUUUAUGAAAACCUGACAACUCAAACUUCUGGAUGCAGCAGGCAUCCAGUAAACAAGAGCAGGUUGUCCGGUGAACCUGAAGAGGAUUUGUAUUUGCAGUGUGAUUUACCUCAUACAGAUGAUGCAAUAUACAACAAUGAUCCGGCUUGCGAGCUCUCCAUCGUCCCAGACUGCCAAGAAGAAGAAGACGUGUAUAUUGUGCCAGAUUCAUGAUAGAAUACCCUCUUCAUGUUUCAUGUAUUUACUGCAUUGCUUGUAGUAUAAAUGUACAUUUUUACAACACAGCUACUUUUUGAUCAGGUUGACCUGUAAACAAUACAUUGCGUAUGUCCUAUUUACUCAGUUGUGGGGAGGAAUAAUAGACUAUUAGAGUAUUUUUAGCUGUUUUUACACUGGUACUGUUUUUGUUUGGGUUUUUUUGGCACAAUUUAUUCCAGAUCACCCACUGUAAAAAUUACUGUUUCUUGAGAGUUCAAGGCAAUUAAAUUGUUGAUAAGACCUGA
This is a long non-coding RNA of Larimichthys crocea (large yellow croaker), 949 nucleotides long. RefSeq lists it as uncharacterized. The record is from RefSeq and is a predicted model, not a curated record. Lineage: Eukaryota; Metazoa; Chordata; Actinopteri; Sciaenidae. The transcript is spliced from 3 exons.